GACAAUGCUCAAAGAAAUUAUGCUACUACUGAAAAAGAAUUCUUAGCAGUUGUAUUUUCCUGUGAUAAGCUUAGACCUUAUAUUGUUGAUUCUAAAGUAACUAUUCACACUGAUCAUGUUGCUAUUAAAUAUUUUAUGGAAAAGAAAGAUGCUAAACCUAGACUUAUUAGAUGGGUUCUCUUGCUACAAGAAUUUGAUUUACACAUUGUUGAUAGAAAAGGAGCUGAGAACCCCGUUGCAGACAACUUGUCUAGGUUAGAAAAUAUGCUUGAUGACCCACUACCUAUUGAUGAUAGCUUUCCUGAUGAGCAACUAAAUGUCAUAAAUACUUCUCAUACUGCUCCAUGGUAUGCUGAUUAUGCUAAUUACAUUGUUGCUAAGUUUAUACCACCUAGUUUCACAUACCAGCAAAAGAAAAAGUUCUUUUAUGAUUUGAGGCAUUACUUUUGGGAUGACCCACAUCUUUAUAAAGAAGGAGUAGAUUGUGUUAUUAGGCGUUGUGUACCUGAGCAUGAACAAGAACAGGUCCUAUGCAAGUGUCACUCCGAAGCUUAUGGAGGACACCAUGCUGGAGAUAGAACUGCACAUAAGGUACUGCAAUCUGGUUUUUAUUGGCCUAGUCUCUUCAAGGAUGCCCGUAAGUUUGUCUUAUCUUGUGAUGAAUGUCAAAGAAUUGGUAAUAUUAGUAGACGUCAAGAAAUGCCUAUGAAUUAUUCACUUGUUAUUGAACCAUUUGAUGUUUGGGGCUUU
RNAcentral lists this ribosomal RNA (750 nucleotides) under Triticum aestivum (bread wheat). RNAcentral's name for it is "partial small subunit ribosomal RNA". Lineage: Eukaryota; Viridiplantae; Streptophyta; Magnoliopsida; Poales; Poaceae. The record is from RNAcentral.